UUUUAUCCCUCAUUCAACAGUACUUUCCAUUCUUUUUUUCCCUCUAGUUCUCCCUUCUUGCAUUUUCUAAAAAUUAUAUGAAUUUCAAUGUUGACGAGGGUUUUUGCUGCUCUCUCUCUCUCCUCCCCAUUUAAUUUUCUCGUUUUUUCCCCGUUUCAGGUUAAGCUCUUUUUACCUGCCUUCUCUUUCUCCUUUGAUUUUCUUGGGUUUUCUAUUUGGUUGCUGAGAAAUAUCUUAAUGGCAUUGAUUCUGUUGCUAGAUUGUAUCCACAGAAAAUAGAAAAAGAAUGCCAAAACUCUAUUGCACAUGCAUCUCGUUCAAGGAGUUUUGAUUUUCCUUCUUGUUUCUUACUGUUUCUCUGGAACCAAACAGUUCAAAAGGUUUGUUAUUCUUUUCAAUUAAUUGAAAAGUAGAUCAUUUUAAAGGUAAUUGAUGUUCUGAGUGAUGGGUAUCGGUUAUUUUGGUAUAAUAAUUUAUGGGUUUGUUAUUUUAGGACUACAUGCACAUCUGAUUUUUUUUUUUAUAACAGAUUUGCUUGUCUAUAACACAUCUGAUGUUUAUUUUCUUGAUUUUGUUUCAUUAUUAAGCUGGCCGAAUGUGUGAUUAAGGCUACUUAAAAGUUAGUUAAAAUGAUGUCUGAAAAUAAAUAAAUUUGGUUGCCUUAGAUGGUAUUUAUGACGUCCGUAUACUGCUGUUAAUAGAGGAUUAAUGGCAGUAGUAGAAUGUUUGUUUAAGGCUACUUAAAAGUUAAUGCCUGAAAAGUAUUAAUUUGGUUGUUUUAAAUGUUUGGAAACUUUUUUAAGACUGGAAUUAAUGGCGUCCGAAUGGUAUUUUAAUGCUGUUUAAAGGUUAGUUUAGAGAUGUCUGAAAGAGUAAAUUGGUUGGGUUAAAUGUUGCGAAGAUUAUGGUGCCUGGAAGUUUUAAUUUGGACGAUCAAUGCCAUGUUUGCUGUUGAAUAUUUCUGUUACGUAGGACAAAUUAAAUAAGUUAAUGUCCAUUAAAAAUACUGAUUUAAAUGAGUGUAAUGUUGUCCAAGGUAAAGACAAAUUAUAUGUAUUGUGCAAGUGAAAUUUUGUAAAAUUGCUGUUGCAUGUUUGCUGUCCGAGGCAACCCUUACAUAUAUGUGAGUGUGAAAUACAGUACAAAACUUGGAUUCAAUUUUUGUGAUGCAGAUUUAUAUAUAAAUUGCCAGCAUUUUCAGGGCCAUUUUGAAUGUAUUUUUGUGGAGUCAUAUUUGUAUAAUGGUACCCUAACUUAGAUUUGAUUUUAUGGUAGAUUGAAAUACAACAAAAGUAUCAGCAUUUUUUUUAAUAGAAUCUGAUUUGUGAAGUAGCAGUGGAAGAGGACUUGCCUUUCUUCUUCAAAGAUACAUCUUUUGAUCUUUGUUCCUUCAAGAUGAGUACUUCAGUGGUUGAAGUUAAUGGUGAAAAGGUCAAAGCAAUGUGGAUAAGAGAUUGACAAAAAUAUUUUGUGGGAUUUGUAUUAAAGAGAUAUUGAAAGGCAAUAGACCUGGUACUCUUUUCACAAAAGAUGGAUGGCUAAAAAUAAUAACCAACUUCGAGAAAGAAACAAGUAAGGUUUAUUCACAAAGACAACUUAAAAAUAGGCAACUUAAAAAUAGGUGGAAUGCCUUGAAAAAAGAAUGAAAGACUUGGAAGAAACUUAAAGGUGAAGAUACUGGUCUAGGGUGGAAUUCUAUAAAAAGAACCGUUGAUGUAUCGAAUGAUUGGUGGGAAAGUAGGCUAAAGGUUGUGCCUGAAGCUAAAAAAUUUAGAACAUCAGGCAUUGAUCCUGAAUAUGAAGGGAAGUUGGACUAGAUGUUCAUGGUGGUAAUUGCAACCGGUGAUAAAGCAUGGUCACCUUCUUCUGGUACAUUCUGUAAUGAAUUUUUUGAGGAUGUUAACAAUGACAUACCUGAAGAGAAUGAGGAAGAAAAUGCGAGAAAUGAUGUUCACAUUUUUAAUGAUGUUCAUAUUGAUGGAAACAGUCAAAAAAGAAAAACGUCUUAAAUAUCCACUUCACAUUUUAAAAUUGGAAUGAAGAAAUCCUUAAAGCAAAUUGGAAGGGUUUUAAGAUUGUCUAGUCAAAUUGAAAAAUUAUGUAAUGCAGUAGACAAUAUGAGUCAAGCCACAUGUAGUUUGACUCCUGCUAUGAAUCCAUAUGGUAUUCCACAAGUAGUCAAACUGCUUGAUAACAUGUUGGAGGAAGUUCUAGAAGUUAGUCCACUAUACUUUUUCUAACUAAAAUUAUUACUCAAUAAGGACAAGGGAAUUGUAUUUUUAUCAAUUAAUCCCAAGAUUAGAGCUUUGUGGCUUAAGACAAAAAUGGAGGAAAGUUGAAAAUUUUCUAGUCUUCUAGGGUCUUGAGAUAUCUACAACGUGACUAAACAACAAUGCUAAACUAGUUUUUUCAAUAGUUGUUUAUGCUUGGUUUUUGGAUAUUGAAUUUAUGUUCUAUUUAUUUAUGUGUAAUAUUUUUAUCAA
Molecule: long non-coding RNA, 2483 nt
Organism: Gossypium raimondii (Peruvian cotton)
Lineage: Eukaryota; Viridiplantae; Streptophyta; Magnoliopsida; Malvales; Malvaceae
Exons: 4
Source: RefSeq, a predicted model, not a curated record